This 82-nucleotide ribosomal RNA is filed under the name Bacillus subtilis. RNAcentral's name for it is "partial 23S ribosomal RNA". RNAcentral also lists the same sequence under 1 other name. The record is from RNAcentral. Lineage: Bacteria; Bacillati; Bacillota; Bacilli; Caryophanales; Bacillaceae.
AUCAGGUUGAUAGGUCUGAGGUGGAAGUGUGGCGACACAUGGAGCUGACAGAUACUAAUCGAUCGAGGACUUAACCACAUUU